This 398-nucleotide ribosomal RNA is filed under the name uncultured bacterium. Its description in RNAcentral is "bacterial SSU rRNA". It matches the Rfam family "Bacterial small subunit ribosomal RNA", at positions 29 to 424 of the family's 1533-position model. The record is from RNAcentral.
ACGAACGUUGGCGGCGUGCCUAAUACAUGCAAGUCAACUGAAAUACCGGUAGCAAUACUGGUAUGGAGGCGGCGCACGGGUGAGUAACACGUAGGUAAUCUGCCUUCAGGUCUGACAUAACCCAUCGAAAGGUGAGCUAAUAUCAGAUGAUGCAGCGGCUUGACAUCAAGACAGUUGUUAAAGCUUCGGCGCCUGAAGAUGAGCCUGCGUCUGAUUAGCUAGUUGGCGGGGUAACGGCCCACCAAGGCUGCGAUCAGUAGCUGGUCUGAGAGGAUGAUCAGUCACACCGGAACUGAGACACGGUCCAGACUCCUACGGGAGGCAGCAGUAAGGAAUAUUGCUCAAUGGCCGAAAGGCUGAAGCAGCAACGCCGCGUGAGGGAUGAAGGGCUUUUGCUU